UACGUGGGGAGCAAGCGUUGUUCGGAUUUACUGGGCGUAAAGAGCUCGUAGGCGGAUGUGUAAGUCGGAUGUGAAAUCCUUUGGCUCAACCAGAGAAUUGCACCCGAAACUGCAUGUCUUGAGUUCAACAGAGGGAAUCGGAAUCGAGGGUGUAGCGGUGAAAUGCGUAGAGAUCCUCGAGAACACCAGUGGCGAAGGCGGAUUCCUGGGUUGACACUGACGCUGAGGAGCGAAAGCUGGGGGAGCGAAC
RNAcentral lists this ribosomal RNA (250 nucleotides) under uncultured bacterium. RNAcentral describes it as "partial 16S ribosomal RNA". It matches the Rfam family "Bacterial small subunit ribosomal RNA", at positions 524 to 773 of the family's 1533-position model. The record is from RNAcentral.